Molecule: long non-coding RNA, 1701 nt
Filed under: Trifolium pratense (red clover)
Lineage: Eukaryota; Viridiplantae; Streptophyta; Magnoliopsida; Fabales; Fabaceae
Description: long non-coding RNA (TPRA_LNC013862)
Source: RNAcentral
AAAUAAAGAAAUUAUUUAGAAAAACUUUAUUUACACAAUUAUAAAAAAAAAAAUGAGUGUCCCAACGGACUAUCCAUUACAUAAAGUUCUCAAUUUAUAAAAACUCAUUUUGCCCCGUACACGCUUCAAGUCAAAUCAUCAAACAAGCAUCUUCUUCGGUACCUAAAAUGUUAAAUGUAAGGGUCAAUUUCCUUAUCCAAAUUGAAUCAUACUCACCAUAAGAAAAAUGUCACAAAACAAUAAUAAAACACUUCAUCAAUCAAAAGAUUUCUAAAAAAUAUAAUCUUUAUUUUUCAAGAAAAAAGUAGUCAGAGACCACCAAUUUAAUAUAAUAUUCAACACCAGUUAUAUUCUUCACCGAUUAAUCUCAACACCAAAACACCAAUCUUACUCAUACACUUCACUAAUUAAACUCAAAAUCAAAUAAUAAUAAAUUUAUACCUCUUUGAUCAAAAGACACCAAAACACUGAUACUAAUGAAUACCAACAAGUACACGACCAUUAUUUUCAACUUCGUUGAACAACACCAAUAAGCAACAUCAUUAAGCAACGUCAUUUAUACAACUACAAUAGGCAACGUCAUUGGCACACAUGAAUGAAUUCAUGCCAUGUUAUAAUAAGCAACGUCAAUAGACAACAUUAUUUAACAACUUCAUCGUCCUUAUAACAACACAAAUAAUCAACGGCUUAAUCGCGAAACAACAUCGAUAGACAAUGGCUUAAUCAAGAAACAACAUCAAUAGUCAACAACUUAAAGACAACAUCUUAUAAACAACGACAUAUAUCUUAAUGUAAUUUUUAUUUUCAAUUACAACAACAAAUCAUUACACACAUAAGCAAACACACAACUGACUAACUUAUUACUAACUUUUGUUAUAUAUAUAUAUCUCUUUACAUGAAACAAGUCAUGAAAUAAAGCAACAACAUCAGCACACGCGGAGUCUAAAAAGUAUUCAUAAACCAAGUGAUACUAGCAAUCAUAACCAUAUAAAUAUAUUGGUUAAUUUAUAGCAUAAUAACUGUGUAUGUACAUGGACCGAACCAAGAACAUUAUUUUCAUAAGAAUUUCUUCUUUAUUUAUUUUCUCUCUUUUUUUUUUUAAUUAUUUAUUACUUUUAUAAGUCACCAAAUCAUCAUCAACUCACUUCUCAAACAACAACAAACACACUUCAAACAAGACUAGUUUCUUUCUAUUGGUUUAUUUUUAAUUAUUUUCUUUUAAAAGAUAAAGACCUCAUUACCACUUCACAACACAAUCCUUACGUAGUAUGAAUAUAUGGGGAAAGAGCCCUUACCUCAAGCGCUUUACUUCCAAGCGAUUUUACUCUAAAAUUCGCGGCUAUAGAGCACACACGAUAUCUCUCGCUCCAGAGUUCGUUUCGACAAUCCAACGGUUGAAAAUGAAAUCUCGCGUGUCGUGCACAUGACAAAUUGAACUCGAGAAGAAUGAAACUUAUAACAAAGCUUGAUGAUGUGUAUCGAAUGUCAUUCACAAAAGAGAUCAUUGUCAUAAAGAUGAAUUUAAGAAAACAAGGGAAGUCUCACGUUUUAACUUCUAGGAAUACAAGGAGGUUAUAAGAGGAAUUAUUGGGAAAUUAUUUUAAUGUGAGACAAUGAAAUCAUUCUUCAUCAAGUGCAUUCAAGGGGUUACAUGAAGAGAGAUUAAAUACCAUUAAGGUGGUUUGUCCGGUAACCAUGAAA